CCUACGGGUGGCAGCAGUGGGGAAUCUUCCGCAAUGGGCGAAAGCCUGACGGAGCCACGCCGCGUGAUCGAAUGAAGGCCUUCGGGUUGUACAGAUCUGUUGACAGGGACGAAUAAGCAAUGCAAAUAGUUUUGUGUAUGACGGUACCUGCAAAGGAAGCACCGGCUAACUCCGUGCCAGCAGCCGCGGUAAUACGGAGGGUGCGGGCGUUAAUCGGAAUUACUGGGCGUAAAGCGCUCGUAGGCGGUAUGUCAAGUCAAGGGUGAAAUCCCCGCGCUCAACGUGGGAACUGCCGUUGAAACUGGCAAACUGGAGUGUGUGAGAGGAUAGUGGAAUGCCAGGUGUAGGAGUGAAAUCCGUAGAUAUCUGGAGGAACAUCAGUUGCGAAGGCGACUAUCUGGCACAUAACUGACGCUGAGGAGCGAAAGCGUGGGUAGCAAACAGGAUUAGAUACCCGAGUAGUC
RNAcentral lists this ribosomal RNA (464 nucleotides) under uncultured bacterium. RNAcentral describes it as "partial 16S ribosomal RNA". It matches the Rfam family "Bacterial small subunit ribosomal RNA", at positions 338 to 795 of the family's 1533-position model. The record is from RNAcentral.